GAUGAACGCUGGCGGCGUGCCUAAUACAUGCAAGUCGAGCGAACAGACGAGGAGCUUGCUCCGCUGACGUUAGCGGCGGACGGGUGAGUAACACGUGGAUAACCUACCUAUAAGACUGGGAUAACUUCGGGAAACCGGAGCUAAUACCGGAUAAUAUAUUGAACCGCAUGGUUCAAUAGUGAAAGACGGUGUUGCUGGCACGUAUAGAUGGAUCCGCGCCGCAUUAGCUAGUUGGGAAGGUAACGGCUUACCAAGGCGACGAGGCGUAGCCGACCUGAGAGGGUGAUCGGCCACCCUGGAACUGAGCCACGGUCCAGGCUCCUACGGGAGGCCGCAGUAGGGAAUCUUCCGCAAAGGGCGAAAGCCUGGCGGAGCAACGCCGCGUGAGUGAUGAAGGUCUUCGGAUCGUAAAACUCUGUUAUUAGGGAAGAACAAAUGUGUAAGUAACUAUGCACGUCUUGACGGUACCUAAUCAGAAAGCCACGGCUAACUACGUG
This 497-nucleotide ribosomal RNA is filed under the name uncultured bacterium. RNAcentral describes it as "partial 16S ribosomal RNA". It matches the Rfam family "Bacterial small subunit ribosomal RNA", at positions 28 to 507 of the family's 1533-position model. The record is from RNAcentral.